This 304-nucleotide ribosomal RNA is filed under the name uncultured bacterium. Its description in RNAcentral is "partial 16S ribosomal RNA". It matches the Rfam family "Bacterial small subunit ribosomal RNA", at positions 506 to 807 of the family's 1533-position model. The record is from RNAcentral.
CAGCAGUAGCCGCGGUAAUACGAAGGGUGCAAGCGUUAAUCGGAAUUACUGGGCGUAAAGCGUGCGUAGGCGGUGAGUUAAGUCUGCUGUGAAAUCUCCGGGCUCAACCUGGGAAUGGCAGUGGAUACUGGCUCGCUAGAGUGUGUCAGAGGAUGGUGGAAUUCCCGGUGUAGCGGUGAAAUGCGUAGAGAUCGGGAGGAACAUCAGUGGCGAAGGCGGCCAUCUGGGACAACACUGACGCUGAGGCACGAAAGCGUGGGGAGCAAACAGGAUUAGAUACCCGCGUAGUCCCUGUCUCUUAUAC